This 417-nucleotide ribosomal RNA is filed under the name uncultured bacterium. RNAcentral describes it as "bacterial SSU rRNA". It matches the Rfam family "Bacterial small subunit ribosomal RNA", at positions 355 to 787 of the family's 1533-position model. The record is from RNAcentral.
UCGGGAAUAUUGCGCAAUGGAGGAAACUCUGACGCAGUGACGCCGCGUGCAGGAAGAAGGUUUUCGGAUUGUAAACUGCUUUAGACAGGGAAGAAAAAAUGACAGUACCUGUAGAAUAAGCUCCGGCUAACUACGUGCCAGCAGCCGCGGUAAUACGUAGGGAGCAAGCGUUAUCCGGAUUUAUUGGGUGUAAAGGGUGCGUAGACGGGAAGACAAGUUAGUUGUGAAAUCCCUCGGCUUAACUGAGGAACUGCAACUAAAACUAUCAUUCUUGAGUGCUGGAGAGGAAAGUGGAAUUCCUAGUGUAGCGGUGAAAUGCGUAGAUAUUAGUAGGAACACCAGUGGCGAAGGCGACUUUCUGGACAGUAACUGACGUUGAGGCACGAAAGCGUGGGGAGCAAACAGGAUUAGAUACCC